This 380-nucleotide ribosomal RNA is filed under the name uncultured eukaryote. RNAcentral describes it as "partial 18S ribosomal RNA". It matches the Rfam family "Eukaryotic small subunit ribosomal RNA", at positions 592 to 976 of the family's 1831-position model. The record is from RNAcentral.
CAAUAGCGUAUAUUAAUGUUGUUGCAGUUAAAAAGCUCGUAGUUGGAUUUCUGGUGGGAGCGGCCGGUCCGCCGUAAGGUGUGUACUUGGUUGUCUACUGUCAUCCUUGUGGGAACUGCUCUGGCAUUAAGUUGUCGGGGUUAGGGAACACAUCGUUUACUGUGAAAAAAUUAGAGUGUUUAAAGCAGGCUUAUGCCGUUGAAUACAUUAGCAUGGAAUAAUAAGAUAGGACUUUGGCGUCUAUUUUGUUGGUUUGCACACCAAGGUAAUGAUUAAUAGGGAUAGUUGGGGGUAUUCGUAUUUAAUUGUCAGAGGUGAAAUUCUUGGAUUUAUGAAAGACGAACUUCUGCGAAAGCAUUUACCAAAGAUGUUUUCAUUAA